AACGUAGGAGGCAAGCGUUAUCCGGAGUUACUGGGCGUAAAGCGCAUGUAGGCGGUUGGGUAAGUGGCGUGUGAAAGCUCCCGGCUAAACUGGGAGAGGACAGGUCAGACUGCCGAACUGGAGUCCGAUAGAGGAGCGUAGAAUUCCGGGUGUAGCGGUGAAAUGUGUAGAGAUCCGGAGGAAUACCAGUGGCGCAAGCGGCGCUCUGGGUCGGAACUGACGCUGAUAUGCGAAAGCGUGGGGAGCGAACGGG
This 253-nucleotide ribosomal RNA is filed under the name uncultured bacterium. RNAcentral describes it as "partial 16S ribosomal RNA". It matches the Rfam family "Bacterial small subunit ribosomal RNA", at positions 524 to 776 of the family's 1533-position model. The record is from RNAcentral.